GCCAUAAUAAAAUUUAUACGAAGCGCCUUCAAAGAUCCAGAGACUGCAACUGUUUUUUACCACGAAUACGCGAUAUACCAGCCAGAUAUUUAAAAUGUAUCACCCCGGAUUAGAUCCAGGGGUGUUCAAUAUGAAGCCGAAUGCGGACACGCCGAACAACUACCCCAAUACCAUCGCCCCACCACCAUAUACAGAACAGGCAGUGGUGCCCAACCUUCGUCGAUUUACGGGUGCACCAGCUGCUACCCUCCAACAAAAACCCAAGGAUACGUUUGUAAUACAACACCAGCCAACAGUAAAGGCUGCCUUCCCAAAACGGUUUAUGACUGUCGACUUCGAACAGGCCACGAUUCCCCUCCACCAGCCCAAUGAGUCCAGGCUUGCUUAUAUCCAUCAGGGAGCUGGGACACCGCUACAAAAGCAAGGCACGAAUGAUACAGUCGUGACUAAGCAACCUGCUCAAAUUCCAAGAGAAUGGAGCACUAAAUUAUGUGCUUGCUGUGAUGACACUGGCGUGUGCAUCGCCAGUACCUGUUCGUGUCUGCUUUUUUGCUGUUGUGUUCCGGUCAUUGAGUAUCAGAUCGCUGAUGCUGCUGGUGUCAGUUGCUGCUACACGUUUUGUUUUGCUGAUAAACUGCGUAGAAUGAUCAGGAAAAGGCACAACAUUAAGGGGGACAAAAGUGAUGACUUCUGGACUGUAUUUUGUUGUAUUUACUGCGCUUAUUGUCAAAUGCUACGAGAGAUAAAUAUUCACGGCAUGUAGCCUGCGGGUCAGCGACGGUAAAUGUCGUGUGGUUCCUGGGAGGCGCUGUUACAUAGUGCAAUUUGUCUUGCAACUUGGAAUGUACUUCUACUUUUAAGAGAUGUAAAUUAAUGAAGAGUCGUCAAAUCUAAACGUAAGAAAAGUCAUGGAAUGUAAGAUAACGCAAAAUUUAAAAAUAAGGGCGCUUUCCUGCAUGCGGUAAAAACCAGUCCUGUUGUAUUUCAGUACAGACAGAUUAAUGCAGGUUAUCUUAGAGUGUUUCAAAAACUCUUCAUUCUAACACGAUAUAGUUAUUUACAUCUGCGUAGUACGGGAAAUGCAGUUACAAUUUUAUUAUAUUU
Molecule: long non-coding RNA, 1104 nt
Organism: Dendronephthya gigantea
Lineage: Eukaryota; Metazoa; Cnidaria; Anthozoa; Malacalcyonacea; Nephtheidae
Exons: 4
Source: RefSeq, a predicted model, not a curated record